GUUAAGCGACUAAGCGUACACGGUGGAUGCCCUGGCAGUCAGAGGCGAUGAAGGGCGUGCUAAUCUGCGAUAAGCGCCGGUAAGGUGAUAUGAACCGUUAUAACCGGCGAUACCCGAAUGGGGAAACCCAGUGUGACUCGUCACACUAUCAUUAACUGAAUCCAUAGGUUAAUGAGGCGAACCGGGGGAACUGAAACAUCUAAGUACCCCGAGGAAAAGAAAUCAACCGAGAUUCCCCCAGUAGCGGCGAGCGAACGGGGAGGAGCCCAGAGCCUGAAUCAGCAUGUGUGUUAGUGGAAGCGUCUGGAAAGGCGCGCGAUACAGG
Molecule: ribosomal RNA, 325 nt
Filed under: Salmonella enterica subsp. enterica
Lineage: Bacteria; Pseudomonadati; Pseudomonadota; Gammaproteobacteria; Enterobacterales; Enterobacteriaceae
Description: partial 23S ribosomal RNA
Rfam family: Bacterial large subunit ribosomal RNA
Source: RNAcentral